RNAcentral lists this ribosomal RNA (371 nucleotides) under uncultured bacterium. Its description in RNAcentral is "bacterial SSU rRNA". It matches the Rfam family "Bacterial small subunit ribosomal RNA", at positions 527 to 896 of the family's 1533-position model. The record is from RNAcentral.
GUAGGAGGCGAGCGUUAUCCGGAUUCACUGGGCGUAAAGCGCGUGCAGGUGGCUUGGUAAGUUAGGCGUGAAAUCUCCCGGCUCAACUGGGAGAGGUCGUCUAAUACUACCGGGCUAGAGAACAGAAGAGGAAGAUGGAAUUCCCGGUGUAGUGGUGAAAUGCGUAGAUAUCGGGAGGAACACCAGUGGCGAAGGCGAUCUUCUGGUCUGUUUCUGACACUCAGACGCGACAGCUAGGGUAGUAAACGGGAUUAGAGACCCCGGUAAUCCUAGCCGUAAACGAUGUGAACUUGGCGUUGGUGGGUUAAACUCCAUCAGUGCCGAAGCAAACGCGAUAAGUUCACCGCCUGGGGACUACGGCCGCAAGGUUA